RNAcentral lists this ribosomal RNA (253 nucleotides) under uncultured bacterium. Its description in RNAcentral is "partial 16S ribosomal RNA". It matches the Rfam family "Bacterial small subunit ribosomal RNA", at positions 524 to 776 of the family's 1533-position model. The record is from RNAcentral.
UACAGAGGGUGCAAGCGUUGCUCGGAAUCAUUGGGCGUAAAGCGUGCGUAGGCGGUUGGCAAAGUCAGCUGUGAAAGCCCCGGGCUUAACCUGGGAAUGGCGGUUGAAACUAGUCGACUAGAAUCUGGCAGAGGGGGGUGGAAUUCCACGUGUAGCAGUGAAAUGCGUAGAGAUGUGGAGGAACACCGAUGGCGAAGGCAGCCCCCUGGGCUAACACUGACGCUCAUGCACGAAAGCGUGGGGAGCAAACAGG